AUUGAACGCUGGCGGCGUGCCUUACACAUGCAAGUCGAACGGCAGCACGGGUGCUUGCCCCUGGUGGCGAGUGGCGAACGGGUGAGUAAUACAUCGGAACAUGUCCUGUAGUGGGGGAUAGCCCGGCGAAAGCCGGAUUAAUACCGCAUACGAUCUACGGAUGAAAGCGGGGGCCCUUCGGGCCUCGCGCUUUAGGGUUGGCCGAUGGCUGAUUAGCUAGUUGGUGGGGUAAAGGCCUACCAAGGCGACGAUCAGUAGCUGGUCUGAGAGGACGACCAGCCACACUGGGACUGAGACACGGCCCAGACUCCUACGGGAGGCAGCAGUGGGGAAUUUUGGACAAUGGGCGAAAGCCUGAUCCAGCAAUGCCGCGUGUGUGAAGAAGGCCUUCGGGUUGUAAAGCACUUUUGUCCGGAAAGAAAUCCUUGGCCCUAAUACGGUCGGGGGAUGACGGUACCGGAAGAAUAAGCACCGGCUAACUACGUG
RNAcentral lists this ribosomal RNA (486 nucleotides) under uncultured bacterium. RNAcentral describes it as "partial 16S ribosomal RNA". It matches the Rfam family "Bacterial small subunit ribosomal RNA", at positions 30 to 507 of the family's 1533-position model. The record is from RNAcentral.